UCCAACCAUCAACCGUAAGGGCUACAUUUUUAUUGGAUAUUUAGAUAUCUAAAAAUUGUGAUAGACACUGGUAGGUAUUUCAAAAAAGGCUUGGAAAGUACUACAAGGGGCCUAUCUGAAUGGUGUCUUAAUACCUAAAAAUCUGACCCUGAUGCUGAAACAGCAGAGUAUUAUAGGGAUGUCAGCAGUGGACUGCUAAUCUCCAGGUACAGACAAGAUGUUGUCAAGGCCAAGAAAGAGGUAUGCUUUGCAACUCAAGUCAUGCAGGAAGCAGUUCAGCCCAGAGGCCAUUGCUUCCCAACCAUUAGGUCUAUUUUUUUCCACUUUACCUUUGCAUAUGAUGUGGUGGAACCAUGUGUAGAUCUGCAUUGCAGUCACCUCAUUUGCAGCUCUUCUACACAUUAGCUAGCUCAGGGAUGGAGAAGAGUGUUGCUAUGCCAGCAAGGAACUGAGUUUGGGCCUUCCAUAAUGGAUUCCAGGAGGGCUUUGCAGCCUCAGUUGAAUUUACUAAUGUUUUGGCUACAGUGGUGCCUGAACUAGGUAGUUUGAAGCUGGCUUACUCUGUUUAUACAAGCUGCAGUCAUAGUGUAGGUCUAUGUUCUUCGCAUCGUAGAAAAGUAGGGCUCGAAGUGGCCUCUGGAAGACAUCUAGUCCAACCCUCUGCCUGAGGCAGGAUGGUCUCUAUCCAAGUCAUCCCAUACAAGUCCUAACCUAUUUCUAAAACCACACAAUCAACCCUGUCACACAGCCCAAAGAUAUCAAAAACACCCUAACCUGACACAGGUAAAGCAGGGGAACAAGGGCUGUCAUAUGUCUCACCAAUGCAAGGGUUCACCCACAUACACCAUCAUAAAGGUCUUUAUUGCAGCAUGCAGGUACAAAAUCUGCUAUGGACAGGGAAUACCACGUAUGGAAAUUCAGAAGUUGAAUGGAAGCCCAGUCUCUUGAAAAACUGGCUAUAACUCAGCAGGAACACAAAGGGCAAUAUAAUUGGCACAUCAGGGACCUGAUGCUGUUCAUUCUUGAACCAGCAUAAGAAAGAUCUGACCAAGGCUGAGCUGUUCAGAAAACGAGUGUUAAAGGGCACUGUGCUACUCUUACAUCUUGCUCCCAACAUGUACCAUAGAUUGACAAUGCUGCCAAAUUUGGCUCAACUUUUUCCCAAGAGGUUAGACAAGUUCUGAUAAUGGCCUCUAGUGCUAAUAAAUAAUGCUAGGCCCACCUCUUCUUUAGCAGUCUUUUUAUUCCAAGAAGCUGUUGCUGACUUCUUGUACCUCAAGGUAGCAAGAGUUACCAGUGCAACAAAGAAAUAGGAAUCACUGAGAAACAUAACACAUCACGUGGAUACAUCGUUUUUCUUCCAGGUACCAGGUUUUUCCCUUUUAAGAUGACGUCUUUGGAGUGAUCUGAAAUGGAAAUUAUUGGCUUAGUCAUGUUCAGUUUUCGUUGCAACUUUUCUUAGAUUAAUAAAGGCUGCAGGUUACACACACUGAGGACAAACAAGGCGUAGUUGUACUCUAUUUAAAUAAUAAUCACAUUUGCCUCUGUGCAUUCAAAGUGAUAAAUGGCUACUGGGUGGUGAUGGCUCAGCACAUUACUGAGAAUCAUUCAUCACUUAGUUCACUCCCAGGCAAAUACGAUUAGAGGAGUUUUACUCCAUUUGCAAAAAACCCCCCAAAAUGAUGCUGCUUUCCACUGUGGCCUUGUUUUCUUUUGUGGCCAGCAUAGGCCCACCACAUGUGAGAGAGUUCCCUUCCAUCUUUCAUAAUGGUUUGUUAUUGUUUCAGGAGGGUGAGGAUGUAGAAGUGCUUUGUAUUAUUAGAAUGAUAACUUCAAUAGAUGGCCUGACUCAAAUUCCCCAAAUAAGCAGGGUGGUCCAGAGGCAGAGAUCUGGAUCUGGGAGUCAGGAGACCCAGGUGUUAUUCCUGUCUCUGCCAUUGACUUGCUAGGGCAAGUCAUGCAAAGCUGAUUGACAUUUAGCACCAGUUUGAGUAGAGAAAGCAUUGUUUGUAUAUUGACUUUGGCUAUUGCAAUUACUGCACUGGGAAAUUGCCUGUGCCCACCUACCAGAUAACAAUAGGCAGUACAAUUGGCCCAGCUUGUACCAGUUAAAUCCAUGGAGAAAGCUAGUGUGUGGAAGAAUGAAUUUUAGGAUAGUGACUUACUCAGAAAUAUGAAUUACAUUUAUACUAGGCUCAUGCAUACAACAAGCCCUGUUUAACAUUAGAAGGUCAUCUCCAUAAAUAUGGCCAAGACUUCAGCUGGUAUGGAUAGCUGUAGCCCCACUGACUUCAUUGGAGCUUUGGGUAGUAUUUUCAAAAGCACCUUAGUGAAUUAGGCUCAUCUGUUCCACUCAAAAUCAAUGAGAUCUAGGCUCUAUUUAUUUAUUUAUUUAUUUUUCACUCUUAACCUGUGACCAUUUCUACCAGUGGGAGAUAUGCCCCAUCAAGAAUCAGAAUGUACAGUUUGGAGCACUGCUACCAAAUGAGUUAUGCUACCUUUGUUGCUUUCUAGACUUCAGGUUUUUCCUGAACAGUAGUCAAAACUGAAAAAAUGGAAUUUAGCUGGCAGUGGGCAUGCCUACAUAUCCAUUAAUGUGGUAUAGGUACUGUGCACUAUAGUACCUGUAAUAACAGGUACUAACUGAAUGCACAGUAACCAGCACUACUGUGCAGUAGUGCUGCCACACCAUUUCAGUGUUGCUAAUGCACAGUACACUAAUUCUGCUGUGCAUUAGCACAGUAGUACAGCUUUUGCUGUGACGUGCUAAUGCACAGUAGAAUUAGUCUACUGCACAAUCAGCUUCUCAUGUAGAUGCACCCAGAGUCAUCUAAAACCACUUAGCUGCCAUCUUAGAUCUGUACUAGUGGAGAAUUUCAGCAAAGAAGGAAAAGUUGCACAUCUUUCAUCGAGAGAAAAAAUAGAAGAGGAAAGGAUAUACUACGAACAGUCUGCCAAUUUUCUCUUCAAAACGGUGAGCUGUUUGUUAACAGGAUCCAUGCAUUUAAAUUACUUCUGGGCAUUUUUGUGAUGAGACUGAUUUACUCAAGCAAUCCCCAUCAUAGCCUUGACUCUUACCUAUGUUGAACCUGGUAUAGUCAAUAAUGUGUGCAAAGUGAGUGUCAAAUCUGACCUGAAAUUCUGCUCUGGUUUAUGCUUUUGGGAGUGCAUUAGAGGUAUUGGGCACUGUCAUGGGACGGGGUCCUGUAGGAUGGCUGUGAUCUUCCCAAGGCCCCCUUACCAUGCCAAAUUGGCCCAAUGGGCACCCUUGAUUCUUGCCCGCCAUGUCUUUGAUUGAAUGAUUGAUAGGGAGGUUACCUCUAAGUCCUCUUGGACACAGUUGAGAUUGGUUCUCAGGACCUCAUGGGUCCCUGGACCCCUGGUGGGUCCCGCUCCAAGACGGAUGUCACAAUCGGUGUUUCGGGGCACCCUAGCCUUAUGGGCUAUGCGUGGCUCCAACCACCCCUUUACCAUGCCCCAAGCCUCACAGAUGGAACUGAUGUUGUUCUGUCUGGGCCUUGUUAUAAUUUGGCUCCCUGGUCCUCCCUGGGCUCUCCGCAGCCCUGUCUCGCACUGCGCCUUCACUGGUGCUUAGGGGUCGGUGCACCCCGAAAUGCUGCGCCCUCUCUGGUGCCGGGGUCCCCAUGCUGCCAUGGGUCCCCUAUGAGACCUCCUCCAUCUCCUAUUAGCCUCAUCCAAACCACCUGUCUUAAACAGCAAACAAAACACAAGUCCCUGGGCUAUAACAUAAAUUCAAGCUGCCCAGCUACAGCAUCAUUCAAGCCACACCAGGGGUGCUCUGUCCCUCACCAGUAUCAGAGGCUGUACCUGCAGUCAGGCCUCUCCCCUUUGGUUGCUCUGGGAGAGCUCCUUCCCCCUUGGCUGCUGGGAGGGAACUGCCUUCCUGGCCUCAGCCCUGGGAUUUAUAUGUGAGCCAGGCCCUGCCCUUUCCGGUCAGCUGACUGCUGGCAAGUGUGGGCCACUAGCUCACUCUGGUUGCCCUAGUAACCAGCAGCUGGGGCUCCCCACUUACUACUAGGGCUCUUUCCCUAGCAGUUUCCACUCUUCAAAGGAGCAGGGCGCCUAAGUGCUCUGCGACAGGCAUCAUCCAUGUUUUUCAGAUGCUGACACAACAAAGGAUCAGGUCCUACAUCACUGUCCCCUCACAAUCCAGAAGUGAGCAGUUUGUAAUCCUCUUGCUUAAUGCAAGCAAAAACGGCAUUCAUUUUUAUAAAUACCUAGCUUAUGUACUGCAUGCUGCACUGGUUCCAUUAAACAGGCUGCAUUCUGACAUUCCCCUGAACACUGUCAGUCAAUGCCGGUUAUCAAAAUCUGUACACAAAACUGUGAGAAGGUUAUGGAGCUGCCUUCAAAACAACAUUACAACCAAUGUGUAAGGCUCUCUGUGCGACUUAAAUCUUAGCAUAAAAUUGAAAAUCAAGAAAAGUACAGAGUGAAGUUUGUUCGUACUAUGAGCAAUCAGGAGUCAUACAUAAUGUAAGAGCGCAGCUGAUAAUAGCAGGAUUCAUAAGAACACUUCAGCUUGCUCUUCUGGACAGGAAGAAGUCAUGUUUUAAGUGGGCCAUGAUGAAAUCCACUUUGGUCAUAAGUAUUCACUGGAAGAGUGUGUCAGUUACCCAUCACUUGCUCUGCUUAGCAUUGGACAACUCUUAAUUUUUUACCUAAAGAAUCAUUUGUGAUUCACGUAAGCACGUGAAUUUGUGCUUUCAGUAUAUUAUUUAAUUAUGCUGUUCUCCAUGUCCUUAAAAAACCUACAAAACUCCAUAGAAAGCCAAAACCCAUUUAUACAACUUUCUGUGGAAACACAGCUUGUAGCAUGGGCACUGACUUCAUGGGUGCUCCGGGGCUCAAGCACCUAUAGAAAAAAUCAGCAGGUGUUUAUUUUCUUUUUUUUAAAGUGCUGUACUGGAAGCGGCUCUGCAGUGUCUAUAAAGAUCAGGCACUUCAGCAGGGCCUUUUGGCACUUUUAGCUAAAGCUGAGUCAAUUGGCUAUUAGAUAAAAGCACCAAAAAAAGCCCCACUAAAGCACCCGAUCUUUACAUAAGUUGGGUAAGAUGCAUUGAAGUAAUGUGCUGUCUUCUGGGCAUGCAUGGGGCUCAGCAUGGGAACACGCCAAGUUUAAAGCAAAGCACCACUUUUUGGGGGUGGGGUUUAUGUCCGCAAGUACCCACCAGCAAAAACCAAAGUUGGCACCUACCUAUGGCUUGUGGAUUAGGCUAAAUAUCUGCUCUUUCAUCCAUAUGAAGUUUACGAGAUGAAACCUUGUCAUUUUGAGGUCUAUGACCAACCUUCCAUUGACUUUAAUGGGACCAGGAUUUCACACACAGAAUUUAUUACAAGAAUUUAACCUUCAUACGUUCCCAUGGGGUAACCAGAUGCAUAUUUUGUGCAGUAUCUUAAAGUUAAUUAAUUCUAAAAAUUUUUCUUUUUAGGAUGUUGUCACUGGCACUGAAGUGCACAAUAUCCCCAACAAACAGCCAGCUUACAUGAAUGGUUUGCUCUCUGUGGAUGAAAAACUGCCCAGGGUAACAUGUUACCCCAGGCGUGAAUGUGUUUUUCCAUAUGGGGUAACAGCUUACCACAAGCCCAUGUUAACACAUUGGGGGAACUUGUUACCCCAAUACAAUUUCUGUAUAAAUGACAGGCCUAGACCUGUUUGGACACUUUGGGUGGAUGCAUCUGAAAAGUAGGCAUUCAUUCACACCUCAUUCAUGUCCACUUCAGGUAUCCAUGGUAACUAAAGGAUGGUCAUUCUCCACUCUGCUUGUGCAGAAGAUGUGGUAAUCCCUUUUGCUAACCAUUUUGUUUGCAGGCUGCAAGGUCAUCAAAACACCCUACCCUUUGCCAAAAAAUCUGCCCCCCCAACCCCCCCCAAAUAAACCCUUUGUCACACACAAAUCCAGCUCUGCUCUCUUUUCUCAUGGCAAAACUCCGCCUCACCUGCCCCUUUCAUAACAUACAAGUUAGUUUGCCCUGCCUUUGUUGGAAGUGAGGACAAGGAGCAAAGGGACAGCAGAGGAGAAAUAGAACAACAUCAUACGGCAAUACAGCGUACACUAUGGAGUCCCCUUCAACGUCCAGGAUGAGAAGGCAGUGCAUAUUCAGUGCUGGAGCCUGUCUUGCACAGGUAACCAGGGAUGACAGCAACACAUCCACUGAUGAAAUUUUAUUCCAAGGCAAUAAGGAUGCUGACUUUAUUCCAGACAUGGGAGAUUGUUCAGAGCAAGAAGACCAUGUGUCUGUGGAAGCUUCAUCCAGCUCAGAUGAGAAGGAGUUGGUGCCACAAGCACAAGUGAUGUCAACACUUCCAGUGGGAAAGGGAAGAGGACCAGCCUGGGGCUGCUAUGGAAGACUGAAGACAGCUACAGCAGGAUGUGGAACAGAACCACUGCAACCACCCCCAGAAAACAUUGCAGAUGAUGACAGCUUUAGAAGAAGAAAUGGCGGAGCGUGGGGGAAAAAGUCCACAGCUGAUACAUCAUCAGAGAACAGCAAAAGACAUAGUCCAUGAAAGUGCUGGGCCAACAAGAGAAAGUAAUAAGGACACAAUGGUGGAAAUGUUCCACCUUUUUCUCUCACAAGAUACCUGACUGUUAUCAUAAGAGAAACAAACAGAGUGGCAGAAAGAAGAUUCAGGGAGUGGAAUAAUAGCCAUCCUGAAAAUAGAAAGGAGUGGAAAAAGCUGGAUGAAACAGAGCUGAAAGCCUACAUUGAUUAAUACCACAGUGGUCAUGAAGCACUGGAGGAGUUGUGGAAGCAACGUGCUGGGUGUCUUUGCUACUAUGCCACUAUGAGUAUAAAACAAUUCUGUCAAAUCACCAACUUCCUGAGAUUUGACAACAAACUGACAUGUGAGGAAAGGAGAGCCGCGGACAAGCUUGCUGCCUUCAGAGAUAUUUGGACACAAUUUAUGAAGCAGCUCAGCAAAUGGUAUAUUCCAGGAAUACACCUGAUGGUUGAUGAGUAGCUCAUUGCAUUCAGGGGUUGCUGUCCCUUCAGACAGUGUAUGCCCAGCAAGCCUGCCAAAUAUGGCUUGAAAAUUUGAUGGUGCUGUGAUACAGCAACAUCAUUCCCCCUGUUUGGAGACAUCUACCUGGGCAAGCAACCAGAAGCUCCACGCCAAGGUAAUCUUGGUACCCAGGUCAUUGAGAAACUGGUUCAUCCAUGAUACAAGACAGUAGGAAUAUUGUGGGUGACAAUUUCUUCACAAGUCCUGACCUGGCAAAAAGACCGCUACAGCAGGACUCGACCUAUGUGGGUACAGUUCGGAAAAACAAGGCCGAUAUCCCAAACAACGUGCAAGCAAAUCAUAGAAAGGAAACAUUUUCAUUCAUUUUUGCUUUUGAUGGGGAACUCAACCUAGUUUUCUAUGUUCCAAAGAAGUCCUAAGAUGUGCUGUUGCUGUCAAGCAUGCAUCAUGACCUAUCAGUGGAUGGAAAGCAAAGCUAAAUAUGAUCCAUGGUGACAAUAAAAACAAGGGUGGAGUGGAUAACCUUGACCACUUAGCCCAUAUGACCAUCUACAGGUGGAAAAUCAACAGGUGGCCAAUGACAUUUUUUCAAUAUGCUGGAUGUGGCUGCCAUUGCCAGCCUUAUCAUUUGGCUAGGCCACAACACAAACUGGAAGCAAAGAUCAGAUUUAAGAAGACGGUGCUUUUUUUUGCAGGAGGUUGGAGAACAGCUGAUUGAUGGACAAAUAAAAUGAAGAAUGAUGGAUAUAUGUAAUCUGUCUAAGUCCAUCAAGUCUGAUAUGACUGCCCUAAAUUACAAAUUGCCUCAAUGCACCCCAGUAGAACCUUUUGCAAGCAUGAGUGGAUGUUGUGUUUUUUGUCUGCAAAACCUGAAAAUGAUGCGAAGAUUGUAAGCGAUUUGCUUGUUCAUACCACAGUACAUCACUGCUGCUCUGUGAGGAAUGCAAUAUUUAGUUAAAAGUUAGAAAAUGUUUUUAGAAGCAAUUGUUAGUUUGAAAACAGAGUGAACUGCAGACUUAGCAAAUUGUUCAUUCAUGUUUUGAAACUCUAAAAACCAGUUUAAAUUUUGUUCCUAGUUCUCGUUAAAUAAUAUUUUGGGUUCAAAUCAUCAUAAAUAUUCUUUCAAACAAUCUGUAUGUUUAAUAAAUAGUUUUUGGUACAUUUA
This is a long non-coding RNA of Alligator mississippiensis (American alligator), 8156 nucleotides long. RefSeq lists it as uncharacterized. The transcript is spliced from 2 exons. The record is from RefSeq and is a predicted model, not a curated record. Lineage: Eukaryota; Metazoa; Chordata; Crocodylia; Alligatoridae.